This 77-nucleotide transfer RNA is filed under the name Alphaproteobacteria bacterium. RNAcentral's name for it is "tRNA-Arg". It matches the Rfam family "tRNA". From Rfam's summary of the family: Transfer RNA (tRNA) molecules are approximately 80 nucleotides in length. Their secondary structure includes four short double-helical elements and three loops (D, anti-codon, and T loops). Lineage: Bacteria; Pseudomonadati; Pseudomonadota; Alphaproteobacteria. The record is from RNAcentral.
GCGCUCGUAGCUCAGCUGGACAGAGCACAUGAGUCCUAAUCUUGGGGUCGGAGGUUCGAAUCCUCCCGAGCGCGCCA